GUCUACAGCCUUAGCACCCUGAAUGCUGCCGUAUCUCAUUUGAUCUUAGAAGCUAAGCAGGGUCGGGCCUGCGAGUACUCGGAUGGGAGAAAAACAUACUCCAAACUACAGCACUUAGCAUAGUGGGCA
This 129-nucleotide ribosomal RNA is filed under the name Nannospalax galili (Upper Galilee mountains blind mole rat). The record is from RNAcentral. Lineage: Eukaryota; Metazoa; Chordata; Mammalia; Rodentia; Spalacidae.